This 751-nucleotide ribosomal RNA is filed under the name uncultured fungus. RNAcentral describes it as "eukaryotic LSU rRNA". The stretch from base 177 to 331 matches the Rfam family "5.8S ribosomal RNA". The record is from RNAcentral. Lineage: Eukaryota; Fungi.
CUGGUCCUCAAACGGGGACAUGUGCACGCUCUGUUUACACAUCCACUCACACCUGUGCACCCUCCGUAGUUCUGUGGUCUGGGGGACCCUGUCUUCCUGCCGUGGUUCUACGUCUUUACACACACACUGUAAUAAAGUCUUAUGGAAUGUAUGCCGCGUCUAACGCAAUACAAUACAACUUUCAGCAACGGAUCUCUUGGCUCUCGCAUCGAUGAAGAACGCAGCGAAAUGCGAUAAGUAAUGUGAAUUGCAGAAUUCAGUGAAUCAUCGAAUCUUUGAACGCACCUUGCGCCCCUUGGCUAUUCCGAGGGGCAUGCCUGUUUGAGUAUCAUGAACACCUCAACUCUCAUGGUUUGCCGUGAUGAGCUUGGACUCUGGGGGUUUUGCUGGCCUGCRGUCGGCUCCCCUCAAAUGAAUCAGCCUCCCAGUGUUUGGUGGCAUCACGGGUGUGAUAAAUAUCUACGCUCGCAGUUGUCCGCCAGGUAACCUUUGGUAACAAAGGUUCGCUGGAGCUCACAGAUGUCUCUCCUCAGCGAGGACAGCUUUUUGAACGUUCGAUCUCAAAUCAGGUAGGACUACCCGCUGAACUUAAGCAUAUCAAUAAGCGGAGGAAAAGAAACUAACAAGGAUUCCCCUAGUAACUGCGAGUGAAGCGGGAAGAGCUCAAAUUUAAAAUCUGGCGUGCCUCUGGUCGUCCGAGUUGUAGUCUAGAGAAGYGUUUUCCGUGCUGGACCGUGUACAAGUCUCCUGA